RNAcentral lists this transfer RNA (89 nucleotides) under Candidatus Taylorbacteria bacterium RIFCSPHIGHO2_01_FULL_51_15. RNAcentral describes it as "tRNA-Ser". It matches the Rfam family "tRNA". From Rfam's summary of the family: Transfer RNA (tRNA) molecules are approximately 80 nucleotides in length. Their secondary structure includes four short double-helical elements and three loops (D, anti-codon, and T loops). Lineage: Bacteria; Candidatus Tayloriibacteriota. The record is from RNAcentral.
GGAGGAGUGCCGGAGCGGUCCAACGGAACAGAUUGCUAAUCUGUGACCGCCUUAUACGCGGUCCGUGGGUUCAAAUCCCACCUCCUCCG